This 492-nucleotide ribosomal RNA is filed under the name uncultured bacterium. Its description in RNAcentral is "partial 16S ribosomal RNA". It matches the Rfam family "Bacterial small subunit ribosomal RNA", at positions 29 to 507 of the family's 1533-position model. The record is from RNAcentral.
AGUGAACGCUGGCGGUAGGCCUAACACAUGCAAGUCGAACGACAGCACAGUAAGAGCUUGCUCUUACGGGUGGCGAGUGGCGGACGGGUGAGGAAUACAUCGGAAUCUACUUUUUCGUGGGGGAUAACGUAGGGAAACUUACGCUAAUACCGCAUACGACCUACGGGUGAAAGCAGGGGAUCUUCGGACCUUGCGCGAUUGAAUGAGCCGAUGUCGGAUUAGCUAGUUGGCGGGGUAAAGGCCCACCAAGGCGACGAUCCGUAGCUGGUCUGAGAGGAUGAUCAGCCACACUGGAGCUGAGACACGGUCCAGACUCCUACGGGAGGCAGCAGUGGGGAAUAUUGGACAAUGGGCGCAAGCCUGAUCCAGCCAUACCGCGUGGGUGAAGAAGGCCUUCGGGUUGUAAAGCCCUUUUGUUGGGAAAGAAAAGCAGCAGGUUAAUACCCCGCUGUUCUGACGGUACCCAAAGAAUAAGCACCGGCUAACUUCGUG